AGCCACGCGGUGAGCACAAAGCGAACUAUUCUUUCGCCUUUUACUAAAGAAUACCGUGUGCGCGCCGCAAAUAGUGGCAUACGCCAAUUUUUGGAGGGGUUUCCUCAAUAGAAGCCC
Alnus glutinosa is the source of this 117-nucleotide small nuclear RNA. RefSeq annotates it as U5 spliceosomal RNA. The record is from RefSeq and is a predicted model, not a curated record. NCBI's taxonomy places the organism in Eukaryota, Viridiplantae, Streptophyta, Magnoliopsida, Fagales, Betulaceae. The transcript has a single exon.